RNAcentral lists this unclassified non-coding RNA (200 nucleotides) under soil metagenome. RNAcentral describes it as "partial contains internal transcribed spacer 2 and large subunit ribosomal RNA". The record is from RNAcentral.
UUGGAGUAGGUCCUUGGGCUUGCUUGCGGUUUGUUACGAACACAUGCUUGCCUUAAAUGCAUUAGCUGGAUUUCAGUAGAGUUGUUAAGUAACAUUGAAAACUCUCGUAAUACGAAGUCUGCUUCUAACCCGUCGUCUUUAUUGACACACAUAUUCAUUUCUUUGGCCUCAAAUCAGGUAGGACUACCCGCUGAACUUAA